RNAcentral lists this ribosomal RNA (633 nucleotides) under uncultured Bacteroidota bacterium. RNAcentral's name for it is "bacterial SSU rRNA". It matches the Rfam family "Bacterial small subunit ribosomal RNA", at positions 8 to 634 of the family's 1533-position model. Lineage: Bacteria; Pseudomonadati; Bacteroidota. The record is from RNAcentral.
AGAGUUUGAUCAUGGCUCAGGAUGAACGCUAGCGGCAGGCCUAACACAUGCAAGUCGAGGGGUAACAGGGAGAGCUUGCUCUUUGCUGACGACCGGCGCACGGGUGCGGAACGCGUAUGGAACCUGCCCCUAUCAGGGGAAUAGCCUUUAGAAAUGAAGAUUAAUGCCCCAUAGUAUCGAUGUACUGCAUAGUAUAUGGAUUAAAGAUUUAUCGGAUAGGGAUGGCCAUGCGUAUCAUUAGCUUGUUGGUAAGGUAACGGCUUACCAAGGCGACGAUGAUUAGGGGCCCUGAGAGGGGGAUCCCCCACACUGGUACUGAGACACGGACCAGACUCCUACGGGAGGCAGCAGUGAGGAAUAUUGGACAAUGGCCGAAAGGUUGAUCCAGCCAUGCCGCGUGCAGGAUGACUGCCCUAUGGGUUGUAAACUGCUUUUAUACGGGAAGAAACCUAUCCACGUGUGGAUAGCUGACGGUACCGUAAGAAUAAGGACCGGCUAACUCCGUGCCAGCAGCCGCGGUAAUACGGAGGGUCCGAGCGUUAUCCGGAAUCAUUGGGUUUAAAGGGUCCGUAGGCGGGCCAUUAAGUCAGGGGUGAAAGUUUGUGGCUCAACCAUAAAAUUGCCUUUGAUACU